AGUGAACGCUGGCGGUAGGCCUAACACAUGCAAGUCGAACGGCAGCACAGUCAGAGCUUGCUCUUACGGGUGGCGAGUGGCGGACGGGUGAGGAAUACAUCGGAAUCUACUUUUUCGUGGGGGAUCACGUAGGGAAACUUACGCUAAUACCGCAUACGACCUACGGGUGAAAGCAGGGGAUCUUCGGACCUUGCGCGAUUGAAUGAGCCGAUGUCGGAUUAGCUAGUUGGCGGGGUAAAGGCCCACCAAGGCGACGAUCCGUAGCUGGUCUGAGAGGAUGAUCAGCCACACUGGAACUGAGACACGGUCCAGACUCCUACGGGAGGCAGCAGUGGGGAAUAUUGGACAAUGGGCGCAAGCCUGAUCCAGCCAUACCGCGUGGGUGAAGAAGGCCUUCGGGUUGUAAAGCCCUUUUGUUGGGAAAGAAAAGCAGCAGGUUAAUACCCCGCUGUUCUGACGGUACCCAAAGAAUAAGCACCGGCUAACUUCGUG
This 492-nucleotide ribosomal RNA is filed under the name uncultured bacterium. RNAcentral's name for it is "partial 16S ribosomal RNA". It matches the Rfam family "Bacterial small subunit ribosomal RNA", at positions 29 to 507 of the family's 1533-position model. The record is from RNAcentral.